Molecule: ribosomal RNA, 536 nt
Filed under: Podosphaera leucotricha
Lineage: Eukaryota; Fungi; Ascomycota; Leotiomycetes; Helotiales; Erysiphaceae
Description: eukaryotic LSU rRNA
Rfam family: 5.8S ribosomal RNA (bases 180-333)
Source: RNAcentral
AUUACUGAGCGUGAGGCCACGCAGGACACUCGUUCUGCGCGGCUGACCCUCCACCCGUGUGAACUAUUUGUGUUGCUUUGGCGGGCCGGGCUCGACCUACCGGCUCCGGCUGGGGAGCGCCCGCCAGAGAAGCCCCAACUCGUGUAGUUAGUGCAGUCUGAGUCUAAAUUAAUAAGUAAAACUUUCAACAACGGAUCUCUUGGCUCUGGCAUCGAUGAAGAACGCAGCGAAAUGCGAUAAGUAAUGUGAAUUGCAGAAUUUAGUGAAUCAUCGAAUCUUUGAACGCACAUUGCGCCCCCCGGUAUUCCGAGGGGCAUGCCUGUUCGAGCGUCAGAACAUCCUCUCAAGCCUAGCUUGGUCUUGGGGUGCGCCAGUGUGGCGUCCCCUAAACAUAGUGGCGGUACCGUUGUGCUCUCCGCGUAGUCACAUAUCUCGCGACAGAGCCACCACGGCACCUGCCAGAAUCCCUUUUUCAUGGAUGACCUCGGAUCAGGUAGGGAUACCCGCUGAACUUAAGCAUAUCAAUAAGCGGAGGA